UGAUAAGGGUGAUCGCCGAUAUGUAAUGCAUGGCGAAUCUCCAUGAACAGAACAGAGGAAGAUCAAUUUGUCGAGAUAUCGUUUCAGUCGCCAUUUCAGCCAUUGGUGAUUCGAUUGUUGCUCGCCAACAU
Molecule: small nucleolar RNA, 131 nt
Organism: Dioscorea cayenensis subsp. rotundata (Guinea yam)
Lineage: Eukaryota; Viridiplantae; Streptophyta; Magnoliopsida; Dioscoreales; Dioscoreaceae
Product: small nucleolar RNA snoR111
Exons: 1
Source: RefSeq, a predicted model, not a curated record